UGGGGAAUAUUGCACAAUGGGGGAAACCCUGAUGCAGCGACGCCGCGUGAACGAAGAAGUAUUUCGGUAUGUAAACCUCUUUAGCCGGGGAGCAACGUGCGCCACGUGUGGCGCAGUGAGAGUACCCGGAGAAUAAGCAUCGGCUAACUCCGUGCCAGCAGCCGCGGUAAUACGGAGGAUGCGAGCGUUAUCCGGAUUUAUUGGGUUUAAAGGGUGCGCAGGCGGCGCGAAAAGUCAGCGGUCAAAGUUCCGGGCUCAACCCGGUGACGCCGUUGAAACUUUCGGGCUGGAGUUCGUGCGAGGGAGGCGGAAUGCGUUGUGUAGCGGUGAAAUGCAUAGAUAUGACGCAGA
RNAcentral lists this ribosomal RNA (351 nucleotides) under uncultured Porphyromonadaceae bacterium. Its description in RNAcentral is "bacterial SSU rRNA". It matches the Rfam family "Bacterial small subunit ribosomal RNA", at positions 355 to 705 of the family's 1533-position model. The record is from RNAcentral. Lineage: Bacteria; Pseudomonadati; Bacteroidota; Bacteroidia; Bacteroidales; Porphyromonadaceae.